Molecule: ribosomal RNA, 253 nt
Filed under: uncultured bacterium
Lineage: Bacteria
Description: partial 16S ribosomal RNA
Rfam family: Bacterial small subunit ribosomal RNA
Source: RNAcentral
UACGUAGGUGACAAGCGUUGUCCGGAUUUACUGGGCGUAAAGAGCGCGCAGGCGGUCGAUCAAGUCGAGUGUGAAAGCCCCCGGCUCAACUGGGGAGGGUCAUUCGAUACUGAUCGACUCGAAGGCAGGAGAGGGUAGUGGAAUUCCCGGUGUAGUGGUGAAAUGCGUAGAUAUCGGGAGGAACACCGGUGGCGAAGGCGGCGACCUGGGUAGAUACUGACGCUGAGGUGCGAAAGCGUGGGGAGCAAACAGG